GUUGGUUUAUUUAAAGGUUUUGGAAUCUCCUUGCAUGUUGUGGAAGUGUAUUUAGCUUCUAAAUAGAAGUAGAAUUCAAAUCUAGUAUCAACUUUCAAUUACUACAAAUUGCCGCUCAAAUCUCCUUACAUCCUUUCUAUUAGUUGUCCUUCUAUGUUUCUUCAAUGACAACAUAAUUUUAUGUUACUUUGAUGGAAUCAUUUUCUAAUAUUUGUCUAUUUUGAGGUUGUAAUUUUUGGAUGAAACAUGAGUCGUUUAUUCUACCCUUCUUCUUUGUUGUACUUCAUCUUUCUUACAUGGACAUGCCCAAGAUUCUUGAGAAUCAUGUAAAUUUAGUGAUUGUUGUUUGUAUUUGAUAUUAAGAUUUGUUAAUAAUUCUUUUUUUCUUUCUAAUACUCGGUUUGUUUUUAUAUGCGGCUUCCCUUGGGUUUGUAAUCAAAGUGAGAUGCAUGGAAUUUUAAAAUCCAAAUCAGGAAGGAAAACCAGUCUUCUACAAUAUAUAUUUCAAUGAGAAACUAUUUUCUUUGAAGCUUUGGUACAAAUUUUUUUUUUUUUGAAAAAUUUUGAAAUUUAGUGUCUUAGAACUUAUUUUUAGAAAAUGUGAAAAACAUAGUAAAAAUAUUAGGACUAUAAUUCGAAAGGGUUGUAGUCAAUCUAAGUCUAACUCAAUCUCAUUUUUUAAAGAAAAUACUUAUCAAGUUGUCCGUAGUAAAAUCUUCAUUUUUUAAAUUUAUUCAAUAUAUUUAUAUUAAAAUUUAAAUAAUUAAGGAGACUAUUUCAAGAUAGUAAUUAAAAAUAAAAAAUAAAUUUAUAUAUCUUUUUAGAAAAAUGAGAUAGAGUAAUUACAAUUUAAUAUUAUUUUCUUAAAAUUAAAAAAUAAAUAAAAUGAAUAUUAUUAGUGUUGAGUUAUGGUAAGUCUUAUUAUACUAUACACUUUUCACCGUAACAAUCAAUCGACCUUCAUGAUGCUAACGUCAAUGGGUGUGUGGGGUUUGAGGCAUAUGCCCCAAAAGGUUGAGAUUAGGUUGCAGUAACAGGGAAAGUAUAUAGUAACAUUAGGCUACAAACAACUUAACAUAACCUAAUAUUAUUUUUUUAAGUUUAGGUUGAGAUUAGGUUGGUUGGUUGGAUUAUAAUCAAGAGGUCAAAUCGAUCAAGUCAUAUAAUUUAUAAUCCAUUCACAAUGUUUUUUUAUAUAUACAUAUAUAUUUAUACCAAAAUCUAAAUAGUAAAUUGGAUACAAUUUCAAUAUAAUAACAAAAAAGUAAAAAUAAAUUUAUAUAUCUUUAUAAAAAAUAAAAAUAUAUAUUAUAAAAUUAUAUUUAAUAUUUUUUUUCUCAAAAAUAAAAAAGAGAAUAAAUAAAAUGAAUACUUUAAUGUAAGAUUAUAUAAAUUAUAACUAAUAUAAAAAUAUUAAAUUAAAUUACUUAAAUUAUCCAAACCUUAGUCUAAAUAUUAGUCAAAUUGAGUUUGAGUUAAAAAAACUUUACUUAAACUCAACCUAUAUUAAAAAUGAUUACCCACCCUUGUCUAAAAGUAGGAUUUGUCGAACCUAUUUUUUUUUUUCUCUCUUUUAAGUUUACUUGAAAAUAACCAUAUAGCCUUGUAAUUAACUUUAUAAUGAGUUAAAUAUUUUAUAUUCUUUAAUUUUAAAAUAUAAUUGGUAUAAUUUUUGUUUUUUUAAGCAGACAACUUUCCAAGAUGUAAACCUUAUAAAAUACUUGCAUGCCAUGCAAGUCUUCCUCAUUGUUAUGAAUCAUGUCUGUGAUUCUUCUGACCAGUUUCUAUCAGACAAAUUUAUUGCUAUGUGCUGAUAGCCCAACCUACAUAUAUGCUCUCCUCAGCCUGUGCAUGCCAUCCACUAUAAGCAUAACUUUCCCUUGUUUUACAAGUGUAUAUGCUUUCAGAGAGAAUGUUUCCAACGUCACCCAACUUAAUAAAUACGAGUAUGAAUCUUUCUACCUUGAACUUUUUAAUACCUAAAGAAAUACAAUGAUAUAUAAUGCAUAACAAAUCUCUUUUGCAAUGUAGCUAAGGUUUUAUAUACAUGAAACCACACAAAAAAAAAAAAAAAAAUGCAUAGACCAUUCAAAUAAAAAAUUAUGAUAAUUAAGAUUACAUUUGAUUCUUAAAAAUAUCAUGGGAGAAAAAUAAUAUAAUAAAAAAAUCAUUAAAUAGAUUACGUAUAUUUGAUAAAAUAAUUUAAUAUUAUAUACUUAAAAUUAAAAAUAUUUUUAAGUAAUAAGUUAAAAUAAUUAAUUUAUUUUUAUCAAAUCUUUUUUAUCUCAUUUGCUGACUACGAUAAAAAUAUAUUUUACAACCAUGAUUCUACGUUCAUGAUUCAUUUUUUUUUAAUAUAAAUAUUAUCAAUUAACUUGACUAUCUAAAGUACUUUAAAUAUAGUUAUUUAAAAAAAUAAAUUUAUUAUUUAAUAUUAAGAAAAAUAAAUAUUAAUUAAAAUCAAUAAGAAUAAAUAUUAGUCAAAAUUAAUAACGGUAAUUAUGUCAAUUUUAUUAUUUAGAAUAAAUGUUAAAUUAACUUUGCCUAUCAUUAUUAAUACUUAAAAUAAAAACAAAUAAUAAAAUUUAAAUCAACAUUUAGGAAUAAUUUAACAUAAAAUCCACUUAAAUGUUUACCAAAUGCUCUUUUAGUAUAAUAAAAAAAGGGAUUUAGGAUUUAGAUAUAAAUAAAUCCUUUUUUUACUACAUGAUAAUUGGGAUUAAUCAUCACUUAUUUGCAAGCCACUUUUUGAUAUUAUAUUUUUCUGAUACAAAAUGAUAAAAAUAAAUAGAAACAAAAAACAGAAAAGAAAAAGAUGCCUUGUACAAGAUUAGUUACGGGUAUAGUACAAGUAAAUAAAUAAAUAGAUUUUAAAAAAAAUCCACCUACCAACCCAAGUUGGUUUAUAUUAUUGAAACAAUAAGUCUCAAUAUUCUAAGUAAACCAUGUGCGAGACCUCGAAAAAAUAUCUAUUGAAAACUAAUGCGUAUACAAGCAUUGCUUUUAAAGAAGUUUCCUCUCAAAAUAGAAAUUUUAUUUUAUAAACUUAUUAUUAACACAGACGAAAUUAUCUAAUUGGGAUUUUAAAUAUUAAUAUAGAAUUUUUGUUUUAAAAAAAAAAACAGUCAUCUUAAAAUAUGAAAAUUUUAAAUGAAACUUUGAAGAAUGAUAAACCUAUCAAUGAUGCAUGCAUGAUAAAUAUAUAAUGUGUAUUAAUAAAUAAAUAAUGUGUAUUAAUAAAUAAAUACCCAAUAAUAAUGUAAAGAUAAAGGUUGUAUUCCAAAAUCCCCCAAAUGGAAGCAUGCAAUGUUUGCUCUUGAUAUUGAGAUUUGUUUAUAUUUUGAUUAAGACUUCCAUGGGUGAAAACCUCUUAUGGACUUGCCCCCAUCAUAAAACUUCUCAUCCACUCACCAAACACAAUUCAAUUCACCACCCAACCUAUUUCAAGUAAUAAAUGUUGGGUCUACAAAAUUGAGAUGGCAAGUAGUUUAUAAGUUAAUUAAUACAUUUUUAUUUUUUAUUCAUAAUGAUUACAAUAUUUAAAAUUUAUUAAAAAAGUUAUAUUAUAUUUUUAAAUAUAUAAACAUAUUUUGUAUAUUAAAUAAUACUAUAUAUCACUAUUAUUUAGGUUUUAUUAUUAUAUACAUAUUGUUAAGUUCUUUUCUUCUUGCAAUCAAAAGUUUGAUUUUUUAAUUGUAAACUUUUAUUUUAGAAAAUGAGUGAUAAAAAAUUAAAAUAAAAAAAUGAAUGAAAAAAAAAAUAUAAUACAUAUUUAAAAGGGAAAACUGAUCAAAAGGGACAAAAAUCCCUCAAUAUUGUAAAACUAACCCCCCACUUUUAAUAGCCUCUAAAAUGACCCAAUUUGGACAAAAAUACCCCUCAGGUACAUCAACUCUUUUUUCUCUCUCAUUCUAAUUUUAUUUCCCUCCAUUCACCUCUUUUUUAUUAUUUCUUCCACUUUCUCCUUUUUUUUCAUUUUCUCCUGUUAUUCCGUUUCUCUCUUUUUCAGUGCAUUUCUUCAAGUCUCACACAGUUUCUUUUCAAAUUUCUUCAACUUAAAGCGCUUUAAGUUGUGGUUGGAUAAACAAUGUAUGUUUAUUUUUAUUUUUUCCAUAUUUUUUUCUUUCAUGUUUUAUUUAUUGAAUAUUUUCAAACAUUUAAUGAGAUGUAGUAAAUAUUUAAAUAAGUUUGAAAUUGUUAUAAUUUUUUUAAUAUCAUUUACAGCCAUGAAAAAAUGGAUUAAAAGAAGGAAACAAUCAGCUUAAAAAGUGUCGUGUGGAGAAACAUUGUCCAUAUGGAAAAAUCAAAUGAUGGUAAGUAAUAAAACUUAUGGAAUUUUAUGAUGGUUUUGGUAUUGUUUGCAUAUUUGUUCUUUAUAUAGAUGUAAAUAUAUGUGUUAAUAGAGUUUUGAUAUAAUAUAUAAAGUUAUCUUUUUUAGUUAUAUACCAAAACUUUACAGAUAUUAAGUUGAACUUGACGUAAGUUAAGAUUGUAUAUAGUUAUUUUAUAGUAACAUUAUAUUAUUGUUAUUUUAUUUAAUUAUACUCAAUUUGAGUUGAAUCAUUUGCAAAUUACCCUUGACAUUAAAUGAAUUACAACAUAACCAAUCUUUUAGUAAAUAAAUAUAUUUUUAUUGUUUAAAAUAGUUUAAAGUUACAAUGUCUGAAUUUAUUUAAUAACUAUAUACAUUGUAUUUCUAUAGCAUUAUUGGUAUUAUUUGAGGUAGUAAAGAUGAUUAAUAAUGUUAUUUAUUUGUUAUUUAUUAAAAUAUAUAUAUAUAUAUAUAUAUAUAUAUAGAUAUAUAUGUGUAAUGAAAUAAUAUGUAUGUAAUAAUUGUUAGAAAUUUGAGGCUAAUCCAACUUAUGGUAAUCACCCUAUAGGAGGGGGGGUGAAUAGGGUGAUGGUAUCUUUUUCACAAAUUUAAACUAUACAAAAAUAAGAGACAAUUAUAUGCAAGUAUAUUAUAAACAAAAUAAAGACAAUUGCAUAUAAUUUAAAAGAGUUAGGGAAGAGAAAGUGCAAACACGAGAGUUUAUAGUGGUUCGGCACUUCCUUGCCUACGUCCACUCUCCUCAACCUCCUAACCGAGUGAGGGUUCCACUAUCUUGAAGCUUCAACCAAGCUUCCAAUCUCUUUACAAUUGGAUUAUGGUUCCAAUUCACCCUCUUGGACUUUUGGCUCCAAGCACCCUUUACACUUUUCAAGAGAUAUCCCACUCUUGAACAACCUCUCAAGUGAUACCCCACACUUGAGAAAAUUCCUCACAAAGAUAUACAAAUAAUGAUCUCUCAAAAUCCUAGUAAUAGAACUUUAGGCUCAAAUAUACAAGAAAAACUAGGAUUGAAUGGUGCACUAAAGAUAUGCAAGUUAUAAAACAAUGGUGCACUAAAAAACACUCUUCCAAAGCUCAAAUAUAAUCAAGAAUAAUUUGGGAAGGUUAAGCUUAUGAAACAAUGAAGAUUGGAGCCUUUUUAUAGAAGAAAAAAGUCAAACUAGUCGUUGGGGGUUUGACCGGUCGAGCUAGGGGUCGACCGGUUGACUAGCCGUUGGGAAAAGUGACCGUUGGGCCUCAACCGGACCUCGAUCGGACCUCAACUGAUUGAGGUUCAACCUUGACAGGGAAGAGAAGGCCACUGUAAGAGAGAGAAACUUUUUGGUCUCCCUCAACCGGUCCUCGACCGGACGAGCACAACUAGUCGAUCGGUUGAGCUAUUUUUUUGGCUCAACACUCAACAUUUUUCAACUUAAAACCUUUUAACACAAGUUUGAAAAUCAUUUAACACAAGGUUUUAGUUCAAAACAUGAAAUCAUCCAAUUCUUAAGAUAUUUAAAACAAUAUUACUCUUGGAUAAUUUUGGUGCAUAAAUAAAGAAUGAAAUGCAUAAAAUUCAUAGUGUACCAACAACCUUACAAAGAGAUCUUAAGAAGUUUUGGUCUUGAAAAACUCUUCUCUUUGAGGUGGUCUUCUUCAUCAUGAUUUCUCUUUGGCUUGACUUGUCUUUGGAUUGCCACUUUGGAAUUCGUCUUGCCUAAUCACACUUGAAAUAUGAUUAUUAGUUCUAAACCUUGUUUUGUUAUCAUCAAAAUCAAGAUUAACCAAACCUUGGUUUCACAAUAAUGAAUGAGUUUUUUAAAAUUAAUACAUACUCAUUGGUGCUAAUGUUAUGAUGUAACUAAAAAGUAUUCUAAUAUUGUUUGUUGAUGACACUAAUUGAAUUAUUUUGUUAUUUCAGUGGUUGAUGAAGUAAGAAUAAUGCUUUUAUAUGAAGGAGAAUGGGUAUGAGAUGGAAAUGCUUUCUAUUUCGAAGGAAGUAAAGGUAAAGGCAAAGACAUUGAGAUCUCGAAAACUAUAUCAUAUAAAGAGUUAUUAGGGGUCAUCAUAUUCUGAAGCUAGGUCCAACAAAUUGUUUUAUUUCAAUGAAGUAUGUAUUCAAUGCCAACAUACCCACAAGUCCUAUACAACUAACUGAUGACGGGGAUGUGAAAUUCUUUAUUGGUUUAAAUUGUACAAAUGGUAAGCUGCAUGUUCCAUUGUGUAUCACAGUUGAAAAAAGAAUUGAUAAUCAUAAUCAGAAAUCAAUUUGAAAUUCUUAUUCCGAAUGUCAUAUGUCUUAUGAGAUUGAUAAAGAAUUGAAUGGGGACUCAAUGUUGAUUCAUAAAAGUAAACACAUUCAUUGUGAUUCGAUUGAAACUCUUACUGUUGAUGGUGAAAUUGGACCAAGAUUUCAAAAUGAGUCACUUAAAGGGUAUAAAGUUCAUGAUUGGAACAUGAAUGAGACUGCAAUUAAUGAGAAGAAUUAUAGGAUGAAUACUAACCCUACUAAUGAUAAGCAAGUGACCCAAAUUGGCUCAUUCAGAACUGGUUCAGCUUAGAGUGCAGAAAUCUUGACCAUGAUUGAUAUAAAUGAUGGUUUCAUACAUGACAAUCCCACUAUAAUUGAAGAUGUAGCAAAUGAAAGACAAAACAUGAUGCAACAACCUAUAGUUAGUGGAAUUAGUGAUGACCAUCUAGAAGAGCACCAAAUAUACUCAAGUAAGAAAGAAUUACAAAGGAAAUUGUAUAUGAUGGCUCUGAAAAGGAAGUUUGAGUUCAAAACAACUAAAUCCACUACUAAGUUAUUUCUUAUUGAAUGUUUUGAUAAAGAAUGCAAGUGGCGAGUUCAUGCUACCAAGUUGGGGAUUUCCAAUAUGUUUCAAAUAAUGAAAUUCUAUUCAACACACACUUGUGGGUUAGAUAUGAUGUCUCGUGACAAUCGACAUGUAAGUAGUUGGUUGAUUGGUGAAAGUAUAAGAGAAACAUAUCAAGAGGUUGGUUGUGAAUUUCGACCAAAAGACAUUGUAGCAGACAUUCGAAAGCAGUAUGGCGUUCAAAUCAGUUAUGAUAAGGCGUGGAGAGCCAGAGAACUUGCUCUAGGUUCUAUUAGGGGAUCACCUAAGGAGUCUUAUAACACUUUACCAUCAUAUUGCUAUGUUUUAGAGCAAAAAAAUCCUGGUACCAUUACCGAUAUAGUUAUUGAUUGUGAUAAUCAAUUCAAAUACUUUUUUAUGUCAAUUGGUGCAUCUCUUGUUGGGUUUCACACAUCAAUAAGGCUUGUGGUUGCAAUUGAUGGGACAUUUUUGAAAGCAAAGUACUUAGGGACUUUAUUUAUUGUAGCGUGUAAAGAUGGCAACAAUCAAAUAUACCCUUUAGCCUUUGGGAUUGGUGACUCAGAAAAUGAUGCCUCAUGGGAGUGGUGUUUACAAAAAUUGCAUGAUGCACUUGGACACAUUGAUGAUUUGUUUGUGAUAUCAAAUUGACAUGGUAGCAUUGAGAAAGUAGUACAUAAAGUAUUUCCCCAUGCGAGGCAUGGUGUCUGUACUUAUCACGUUGGACAAAAUUUGAAGACAAAGUUUAAGAAUCUUGCAAUUCAUAAGUUGUUCCAUGAUGCUGCCCAUGCUUAUCGUGUUUCAAAGUUUAAUUUUAUAUUUGGGCAACUAGAUAUGAUGGACCGAAGAACAGAAAGAUAUUUGAUGGAUAUAGGAGUUGAUCGAUGGGCACGUUCAUAUUCUACCAAAAAAAGAUAUAAUUUCAUGACGACAUGGAUCGUUGAAAGCCUUAAUGUUGUGUUGAAAAAUGAUAGAGAUCUUUCUUCCGGUUUUGCAAUUGGUUGAAGAAUUGAAAAACUUACUUCAAAAAUGGUUUGUGACUCAUCAACAACAAGCAAUGCCAAUGUCAACUGAACUUACCAGGUGGGCUGAUGGAGAACUUCAUUCGAGGUAUAAUAUGUCAGCAACAUAUCUAGUGGAACCUAUCAACUCCAAGGAGUGUAAUGUUAACUAUGCUAGCAUUAGUGCUCAAGUGAAUUUAGACACUCGUUCAUGCACAUGUCGACAAUUUGAUCUUGAUCAUAUUCCAUGUACACAUGCUAUUGUUGCUUGUAGAUUUUACAACAUUUCAUGUUACACUUUGUACUCCAAGUAUUUUACUACUAAAGCAUUGUUAUCUUCAUAUUCAAAGUGUAUUUAUCCAACUGGAAAUGAAAUAGAUUGGUUAGUACCUAAUCAUAUUCAUGACAAAGUUGUGUUACCACCUAAAACGAGACGCCCAACAGGAAGACCAAGGAAAGUAAGAAUUCCUUCUGGUGGAGAGGGCAAGCGCACAUCUCGUUGUAGUCGAUGUGGUCAAUAUGGGCAUAAUUGGAAAACAUGCAAACGACCAAUCCCUUGAUAUCAUGAUAACUUUGGAACUCUAUGAACUUAUAUGGAAUGAAAAUUGUAAUAGUGAGCUUUUUUGUUUUUUUGGUACCCAUGUGAAUGGAAAUGUAAGUUACUUUUUGUAUAAGGUGAUAGGAUAAGCAUAGAGAUGAAUAUUGUAAUAAUGAUCCCUUUUUUUGCAUACCCAUAGAAAUAGAGUUACUUUUGUACAUAUAUGUUAUGAUGAGUUAUGUACAAAGUAUGAAUGAAAAUUGCAUAUUUAUUCUCAAACUAUGGACUUAAUUGUUCUCACGUUUAUUGAUAAGGAACUGGACAAUAGUUAAGUUCAGGUUUUGUCUGAAGACUGUAGACUUAACUACCUUCAAGUUUGUACAUAAAACAACUUGUCAAUGGUUAAAUUCAGGUUUUGUCUAAAAACUGUUGACUUAACUGCCUUCAAGUUGGUACAUAAAACAACUUGACAAUAGUUAAGUUCAAGUUUUGUCUAAAGACUGUGGACUUAACUACCUUCAAGUUUAUACAUAAAACAACUUGACAAUAGUUAAGUUCAGGUUUUGUUUAAAGACUGUGAACUUAACUACCUACAAGUUGGUACAUAAAACAAGUUGACAAUAGUUAAGUUCAGGUUUUGUCUAAAGAUUGUGGACUUAACUAUCUUCAAGUUUAUACAUAAAACAACUUGACAAUAGUUAAGUUCAGGGUUUUUUAAAGACUGUGAACUUAACUACCUUUAAGUUUGUACAUAAAACAACUUGACAAUAGUUAGGUUCAGGUUUUGUCUAAAGACUAUGGACUUCACUACCUUCAAGUUUGUUCAUAAAACAACUUGACAAUAGUUAAGUUCAGGUUAAAAUGGCAAUUGUAGACACAACUUCCUAUGAGUCUAUAGAAGAUCAACUUGAUACCUGUUAAGUCCAGAUUAAAUCUGUUAUUCUGGAAUAGACUUCGACUUAAUAUCUGUUAGGUUUGUUCACAGUUAACUUGAUAGUAGUUAAGUUCAGGUGUUCUAUUAAGACUGUGGACUUAACUACCUUCAAGUUUGUACAUAUAACAACUUGACAACAGUCAAGUUUAGUUUAAAAGGUCAAUUAUAUACAUAACUAUUGAACAACAUUCAUCAAAAUAUCCAAGUAUAUAUAUCAAGUUGUCCAACUACAUUUAUCAAAAUGUCUAACUACAUAUAUGAAGCUAUCCAAUUACAUAUAACAAACCAUCCAACUACAUUAUCAAAAUGUGAAAUAUCAACAUGAAUUCAUUACAUAGGCAAGUAUUUCAUAUAAAAUAACUCUGCUGCCAUCUUUUCCCGAAACCAGUCCAUUCGAGCACUUGUUAAUGACUUCAAUGGAUGGUUGUGCAUUAAGUAUUCAACAUAUUUGAUAACAAACAUGCCACAAUCAUCACUGCAUGGUACACAGAUAAUCAAUGUUAGGGCUAUUAUUAAGGAUUAAGUGUAUAAGAUAUGAAAGUAAAUUUAAGAUCACUUACUCAUUUUCUUGUUGAGGAAUAUCUUACAGCCGUUCAAUUUCCCAUUCCUGGUAGUUAACUUUUGUGUCACCAUGAAACCCAUAAUAUGCUAUUGCAUUUAAGAUAUGCGGCAACAAUGUGGUUAAUGGUUUAAUGGAAACUUGCAAUCUUGCAUUAUUAUUGAUGCCCAUCAAUGAGUCAUAUACAUAUAUAAUCCUUCGAUGAAGGUGGACAACUCCUAAUACCCAGUGACUAACCCGAACAUUGAUGGGGACAUACACAAUGUCAACAUCAGGCCAUUUGAUAGAAUAAAGAGGCUGCAAACCAUUGGCAUAAUCAAUAAGAAUGUCAUUCUCUGGUAAUUUGAAUAGGUUCCAUUUCUUGACAUGCUUAAUCCAUUUUGCUAUAUAGAAUAAAGUUAACAUACAUAAAUAAAUAACCAAGAUUAUAAGAUUCAUUAUUACAAAAAAUUAAAAAUGAUAACUAAAAUUCAAACUACACAUACCCAAAACAUAGUAUCCAUUGUGGUAAACUUUUGGGGAAAAAAAUGAGGAUUUUCUAUUCGUUGCUUCCGGAAAAACAAGGCAACAUCAAUGUGCUAACAAUUAGUGUUUGGAUACCCGGUUCUCCAAAGCUCUUUGCAAACCAAAUAGUGUCAUCUCAUAACAAAUCCCCUCCCCCCAAUGGAUACUUGUUAAAAGCCUCCAAAUUAUCAACCAAAGCAACUCAUUCCAUAUCUAUUAAAUUUUUUCCUUCUUUCCCAAAUAAAACAUGCUCUAAAAAAUAGAAAAGUGCCAACUUUAUCACUUCUUUAUCUUCAAAUUCUUUUUUUUUCUUAUUCUUUUUCUUUUUCUUUUCCUCUCUUUAAGAAAGAAAAACUUUCUCCAACUCAUCAUUACGCACCUUGUUUUCUCCUUUAAAGUAUAUGUCCCUUAUUUGUAAUGAUUUUUUAUCACAUUUUAUAAUAGGACCAAAACUCAAGCCCGUAAUCAAUGCAAAACUCUUCUUUACUAAAUCUUAAGCCCUUUGACUUUAAUAAAAUCCAUAUUUUAUUGUCUUUUUUGGUUUCACAUUGACGUAACAACAAUUGAUGAACAAUUUGGGCUAAAAAUCUAAGUUCGGGAAAGAGUAAAAAAUGACCAAAACAUGAUUUUCUAAACAUCUUCAAUUGUGGUUCAGUCAAUUUCUUCUUAAUAUUUUCAAUGGCUACCAAGUGAGACAAACAUGCAAUUUUUCCAGGAAAGUACUCCUCUUUAGGUAUUUUAGAUAUAAAAGAUAGGGAGAGGAGGAGGAAUGUCAAUCUAUAAGAUAAUAGCAAAUUGUAAAAAUAUCAAUAUAAAUUGAGCAAAAUUAUAUUUCCAAACUUAUCCAACUAUGUUAAAUCCUUCAUUUCGUAUUACUUCUUAACAUAGACUUUAUUUUCCUAUUAUUUAAGAAUGCCAUGUCAAAUGCUAAUAUUCUAAAGAUAUUAUUUUACUAAUGCAAUUGAAGCUAUUAUAUUUUACUAAGUUGCAGCUACAAAAAAUUGGAGACAUUAUUCUAGUGUUUAUUGAAAUUUGAAACAAAACCAAACCAUUUUGAAAUUGCAACCUGUUGACAAUGAACUUGAUAGCAGUUAAGUUCAGUUUUUUCUUAACAUAUAUAUUUAAAUCAAAAUUCUAAAUAUUUGGAUAAAAUAAAUUCAUAAAAAUUAUAUUCAAAUACAUUAUAAAUUCAUAACAAAUAACUUCAUUACACAAAAUUUCAAAACCUUUUGAUGGUAAACUUGAUAGUAGUUAAGUUUAGUCUUUUCUAAUCAUUCAAAUAUUGCUUUAAACCUUGGACUAUAACCUCACUGAGAAAAUUUUCAACAAUUAGAUUAUCAAUUCAUGAAAAAUAAUUUCAUAAAAAAAAUGAUAAUUGAUUAAAAGGGAUAAAAUGUAAAAAAAAAAAUUAAAAAUCAAAAUUUCAAGUAGAAAAUUAAUGCUUACUGAAUCAGUUGAUUUCUUCUCAUUUUCUGAUGACGAUGACAAGGUUUCAAAACCUUGCUUUCUUUCACUUCUCUUUUUUCUCAAAAUUUUAUACCCUUCUGUUUCAUAUUUUUCAUCACCGAAUUUUUUUCUUCCUCCAUUUUCAUGAACUGAAUCAACACACAAUAUCAGAAAGAUGAAAAAUAGGGCUUGAUUUAAAAAAAAUAAAAUGAACCAAAAUAAGACACGUAGGGUUUCUUCUCAUUUCAUGGAUGAAGAUUCAUAUGUACAGUUCAAAAAACUGAAAUCAAAGAAUGAAACAGUGAAACUUACUUUUUGUUUUUUCCUUGUGUUGUGUUGCCUUUUUGUUCUCUUACAAUAAACGAAAAAGUCUUUUGUGAUUUCUUUCUCGUAGGUUAAUGGAUGAAACAAAUGGGUUUUCAGGGUAAGGAAGAGACACAGCACUAGGGAAAAUUGGAGUUGGAAGGAAAAUGACCUGAAAAGAUAGCUGAAUGGGUAUUUUUGUCUGAGUUGGGUCAUUUUUAAGACUUAAAUAAGUGGGGAGGUUAGUUUUGCAAUAUUGAGGGAUUUUUGUCCAUUUUAAUCGGUUAUCCUUAUUUAAAAUUAUCAUAUUUCAUAUAGAGAAUAUAAAAAAAAAUAGAUUAUUUCACUACUUAUUGUAUCUCAUAUUACAAAUACAAAUAUGGGAUACUGUAAGAUUACUCAUCGGGAUCAAACUCCAUCAAAUCAUUUGGCCAAAAAACAAGGAGAAAAUGGCAAUAUCACUACAUGUUGAAUUAAAAGUCAUAAAAACUUCACAUCAUCUUUAAUUAUUCAACCAACAUCAAAAAACACUCAUCCAAGGUUAAAAUAAUAUUCAAGAAUGAUUUAUAAUUCUUCCACUUUAAUAUAAGUAUAGAGUAUUUAAAUAGAAUUUAGAACCCCAAACUAGUUAUUAGAUACAACUUAAGUUUGAUAGAUCAGUCAAUCUGUCAAGCGGCUACUAGUCGUUGGGGUUACUGUUGUCCAAUCGAUUUAACUAAUCUUUAACCAAUGAAAAUUUAGUUUUGCCAAUCUUGAGCAUUUUAAUCGGUUCUCAAUAAAUAGAAACAUGAGGAUCAACAGAUUCCCCUGUAUAUACCUCAAUUGAUUCCACUAAUUUUGAAAAAAUUAAAUCCAAUCAAGUUUGGGAAACCUAGGCUAAUAUAAUCUUAACUUUUUAAAAAUUCUUUAGAAAUAUUUUAAUUUUCUUUUUAGAAAUUAUUGUACUCAUACGCACUUAGAUUAAAUCAUUAAUUUCAAAUUUUAUUUUAUAAUUAUAACAGGUGAGAUUAACACUUAGGGAUAGUAAUGAAACGGGUUUUUUUAGGUACUCAUCCUACCCCUAAUAGAACGGGUUUCAAUUUUAACUAAACAGAUUUGGGACGAGUUUGAAAUUUUUUUUAAAAAAACAUGGCAGGUUUGGAACGGGUUUAGAUAUUGCCUUGCCUUACCCCGAUUAUAUAUAAAAUUAAUUUAAUUUUUAUUUUACUAUUUUUAAUAUAUAGAUAAUAAUAAAAUAUUUUUAAUAAAAUAAGUUAUAAAAAAAUAUAAUAAUUUAAUUUUUUAUAAAAUAUAUUUAUUUUAAUGUAAUUAAAAAAUUUUAAAGUAAUUUUUUUUAAAAUAUUCAAAAAAAAAGUUAAAUGGUGGGAAUUUCUCAUACUCAUUUCACCCCGUCCUGUCCCGUUUAAUUUUUUAAAUAUGACAAAUAUAUGAAUUAUUUUGAAUAAACGGGGUGGGAUUGGGAUGGGGGCAACCCGCCCCAUUGUUAUCCCUAUUAGUGCUUAACAGUCUUUAUAUUAGUCAUUGUUUUGCAUAUCCACCAUCUUAAAAAUUCAAGUUGAAAUUAUUGAAUCUAGAAAAAAUAUAGGUAAUUACAAAAAUAAUAACCAACAAAGCUGCGUAAUAUUCACAAUAAUGAAUAUCCCUACAUGACAUAUUUUAAAAAAAAAAAAACUAUUGGCUUGAGAUUUGAAAUCUAACUUUUUUAAAAGGUAAAGAAGGUGAGCAAUGCUCCCUUUAUAUAAGUUGUGCCCCGUCUUCAUGUAGUUUCUUUUUAGAUAUUCUCUAUAAUAUUUUUUAUUUCUUUCCAUCUUUAUUUCCUUAAGCUAUAUUUGGUUUCCAAAAAAUACUACAAAAUAUUAAGAAAAAUUAUUUUCUUAUGUUUAGUUUCACUAUAGAAAAUAUAAAAGAAAAUCAAAUAUAAUUAAAAUUUAUUUAAAUUUUAUACAUUUUAAAAUUAUUUAAUCUUACUAUAAUAGAAAGAAAUAAAUAAAAUAAGUUUAAAAAACGUAUAAAAAUAAUUUAUUAAAUUUAAACUUAUUUUUUAUUUUUUUUCACUUUUUCUUUUUUGCUACUUUUGUUCUUUAUUUUCUAUUUUUUUACAUUUUCCCUAAAAUUUUAUAGGAAUCAAACAUAGUCUUAAAAUUUUAAAUAAAAAUUAUCUAAUUUACAAAAAAUAUAGACAAUUGUGAAGUAGUAGGGUGUUGUCUACAUAUAUGUUACAACAUCCACAAAUAUUAUACCCAAUCAAUAAGAGAACUAUCAAUCUAUCAACUUUUUUUUUUUUUUAAUAUAUUAAGAAAUGUGGUGACAUCAUAAAGUCUUUUUUUAAGGUGAAUAAGGUUUUUCAUACAUGAAAUUAUACCACAAAUAUAUAAACCAUAAGAAAAAUAAUUUUUUUAAUAUUUGCAUGUUAUGAAUAUAUAUAUAUAUAUAUAUAUAUAUAAUGCUAAAAGGUUUUUCUCACCAUUUUCUUUAUAUAAAGGUGAGUAAAAUUUGACAAAAGUAUAUUUCUCAAAAUUUAAAUUUAAUUUUCUUUCCCUAAAUAGGAGUUUUUUUUUCCUUUCCUUAUAAUCUUUCACUCUAUUUUCUUCUCUCUCUCUCUCUCUUUCGAUUUUCCAUGAAACAACCUUGAUAAUAAUAAUAAUAAUAAAUGUACAAAACAUAUACAUAGAAGGAAUUCCUUAUCAUUAAAAAAAUCUAAGUUAAGCUACACUUGUAACGGUAGUAUUAUUUAUUUUUUUUAUAUUUUUUUUCAAUGACAAGUUUGAUAUAAUUUUACAUCAUUUCAAAUACUUGCCCAUUUUAAGAUUGUAAUUUUUGGAUCAAACAUGAGAGUUUCUUCUACUCUUCUAAUUUGUUGUAAUUUUUUCUAUCUUUGUCAACAAAUUUUAUUUUUCUCCCCUCUAUCGAGGUACCUAAUAUGGUUAUGAAUCAUGUAAAUAUAAAUCGAGUUUUUGUUGUUUUUUCUACAUAUUAAGAUUUGUUAAUAUUUUUACUUUCUCAAUAUUUGUGUUAUUUCUUCUAAGAAUUCCUUCAAGUUUGGGACAAGUCCUAAAAUAGGAUGAAAGAAAUAAUCACAUUCUUUCUCAAUCUAGUGUUAAAUCUUGGGUUGUUUGAAGGCCAAUAUCCCUUCAAUAAGGCUAAAGUGUAUUUAUUAGAACAAUUGGAGAUUGCAUGUUGUGUCACUAAGGUGAAUAAUAGGAGCAAUUGGAGAUUAGUGCAUCGCAAACAUGGAUCAAAUUAUAGGUAUUAAAGAGUAAGUCUUUAGGUAAAGUAAGUAGGUAAAUUUGUGUGACUUGAUCUCAUAUAAUGGAUUUAGAUUUGAGGUCUUAAAGCUUGUAUUUUUUUAUCUCCAUUUAGUGUGGAGGUUUUCCACAUAAAACUUUUGUGUGUCCCCUUGCAUACUUUUUUUUAUUAUUCGAGUAUUUUAAAUAUAUUGAUUAUCUCUUAUAUUCUAUAAGUUUAAAAUUGGAUUUAUUUCAUUCCUUAUAUUAUAAUUUUUAAAUAUGUCUAUUCACCCCUUCUAAGAGUUAUCGUACUGGACAUCGGUUUUUCAUAAUUAAUAAACAAUGAAGCCGUCACUAAUAGCUUCCUACAUUUUCAAAUUAAAAAUCGCAAAACUUCACACCAACUCAAGAUAAAUGGUUCAAUUAUUCAACUACCAUCACCACCACUUAACCCAUUUCAAAUAUAUAAAUAAAUGUUGGGUUUAGUUUUAAUAAUCGGAGCGUGACUCACAUGGUUAAGCUCUUUUACUUUCCUUUUAUAUUUAUGAUGUAUUGUUUUGGUUUACCUUUUUUAAUCAAAUAUUCCAAAAUUUGGAUCGCAAGUGGUGCCUUUUUUAAAUGUCUUCCAACCCAUCUUCAUACAUGAAACUAUGAAGAUUAUAUUUGAUUCAUAUAAAGUACGGAGAAAAACAAAAGAAAAUAAUAAGAAAAAUAAAAUAAUUACUUUAUGUUUGGAUGUCAUGGGAAAAUGUGAGGAAAAAAUAUUAAGAAAAAUCGUAAGAUAAGGUGACGGUUCAUCACAUGAAAGGAGACAGUUGUUCCUGCACAUGGGCAUGUGCCCCCAUGUGGAUUUGAAUGUGAAAACAGAAGCGUUUGUCUAACAAUUAUUUCUCUGCAAUUUAUUUAUAUCACUCGGGCGAUGCAAUGGUUGACUGUGAUUAACUUAAUAUUACUUCUCCCUACAACGGCUCUCUCUGUAAUCUCUAUAUAUUAUCCUCACAUGUAUUCCUAUUGCUCCUCACAACACUAUCGCUUGUUUCUUUCUCGUAUUCUCUCUUGCUACAAUUCCAUUCAUUCUCCUUAGCUGUUUGAAAGAUGGCCGAACAAAUUCCAUUCAGUCUUAUUGAGAAGCUUUUGAUGAAGCUGGGGUCUUCAAUUUACGGAGAAAUUGGGUUGAUGUAUGGUGUCCGAAACGAGCUGGGAAAGCUUCAGGACAAACUGUCCACGAUCAAAGCUGUACUUGUUGAUGCUGAGGAGCAGCAGCAGAGGAGCCAUGCUGUAGCAACUUGGGUGCAGAGGCUUAAAGAUGUUGUUUAUGAUGCUGAUGACUUGUUCGAUGACUUUGCAACUGAAGAGUUACGGAGAAAAACGGAAGUGCAGGGAAGAUGUGCUGGACAAGUAGGUGACUUCUUCUCAUCUUCCAAUCACCUUGCUUUUCGAUUUAAGAUGGGUCAUAGAAUAAAGGAUAUUAGAGAAAGGCUAGAUGAUAUUGCAAAUGAAACCUCCAAGUUAAAUUUUAUUCCCAGAGUCAUAUCUGAUGUCCCGGUAAGGAAUAGGGGGAGGGAGACGUGCUCUGUUGUGGAGAAAUCUCAUAAAAUUGUGGGUAGAGAUGAAAACAAAAGGGAGAUAAUAGAGUUGUUGAUGCAAUCAAGUACUCAAGAAAAUUUGUCAAUGGUUGUGAUUGUAGGCAUAGGGGGCUUAGGCAAGACCACCCUUGCUCAGUUGGUUUACAACGACCAAGGGGUGGUAAGCUAUUUUAAUCUUAAAAUGUGGGUUUGUGUUUCGGAUGAUUUCGAUGUAAAAGUACUGGUUAGAAAUAUCAUAAAGUCUGCAACUAAUAGAGAUGUGGAAAACUUGGAGUUAGAUCAGUUGCAAAAACGUCUUCAAGAAAAGUUAGAUGGGAAGAGGUACUUGCUUGUGUUAGAUGAUGUCUGGAACGAGGACAAAAGGGAAUGGGGUCAGUUCAUAACCUUAUUGCCUGUUGGUGCAAAUGGGAGUAAAAUCUUGGUGACCACUCGAAGCACAAGAGUUGCAUCAGUUAUAGGAAUUGAUUCCCCAUAUAUUGUGGAAGGUCUUAAAGAUGAUGAGUCUUGGGAUUUGUUUGAAAGUCUUGCAUUUAAAAAGGGAGAAGAGCAAAUGCACCCAAACCUUGUAGCCAUAGGAAAAGAAAUUGUAAAGAUGUGCAAAGGAGUUCCUCUUGUCAUCGAGACUUUAGGCGGAAUGUUGUACUUCAAUACCCAAGAAAGCCAUUGGUUGAGCAUUAAAAAAAAUAAAAAUCUUGUACUUCUUGGAGAAAAAAAUGAUAUUUUACCGAUAUUGAGGUUAAGCUAUGACAAUCUUCCCGUCCAUUUGAAACAAUGUUUUGCCUAUUGUGCAUUGUUUCCCAAAGAUUAUAUAAUUCAAAAAAAGUUGUUAGUACAACUAUGGAUGGCACAAGGUUACCUUCAACCAUAUGAUGAGAAUAUAGAUUUAGAGGAUGUUGGUAAUCAAUAUUUUGAAGAUUUAUUGUCAAGGUCAUUGUUUCAAAAAGUUGAAAAUAAAAAUACAAAUAAUAUAGUAAGUUGUAAAGUGCAUGACUUAAUGCAUGAUCUUGCACAAUCCAUUGUAAAGUCUGAGAUUAUCAUUGUAACAGAUGAUGUGAAGAUUAUUUCACAUAGAAUUCAUCAUGUGUCAUUAUUUACAAAACACAAUGAAAUGCCCAAGGAUUUAAUGGGCAAAUCCAUCAGGACUUUCUUUAACAGCGCCGGCUUUGUGGAUGAUCAUGAUGGUUCUAUAACUAGACUCCUUUCAAGCUUAAAAGGUUUGCGGGUAAUGAAGAUGAGGUUCUUCUUACGAUAUAAGGCUGUGUCAUCUUUAGGAAAACUAAGUCAUCUAAGAUAUCUUGAUCUUUCUAAUGGGUCGUUUGAAAACCUCCCAAAUGCUAUUACAAGAUUGAAGCAUUUACAGACAUUGAAGCUUUUCUAUUGUUUCGGUCUGAAAGAAUUGCCGAGAAAUAUGAAAAAAUUGAUCAACCUAAGGCAUCUUGAGAUUGAUGAAAAAAAUAAAUUAAGUUAUAUGCCACGUGGGUUGGGAGAUUUGACUAAUCUUCAAACCUUGCCAUUAUUCUGCGUAGGGAAUGAUAGUGGCGAAUCCAGGCACAAGAGAAUGGGUAGGUUGAAUGAACUGAGAUUCCUUAACAAUCUCAGAGGACAACUACAAAUUAAAAAUCUUUCAAAUGCGAGAGGCAGUGAAGCUAAGGAAGCCAUUUUGGAGGGUAAACAGAGUCUUGAGUGCUUGAGAUUAGAUUGGGAGGGACAAGAAGCUACCGACGAGAGUGAGGAGGACGAGAGUGAGGAGGCAGUGUUAGUGAUGGAAAGCCUGCAACCACAUCCAAAUCUGAAGGAGCUCUUCAUAAUUUGUUACACAGGUGUGAGAUUCCCAAAUUGGAUGAUGAAUGAUGGGUUGGAUUUGUUGCUCCCAAACCUAGUGAAAAUUCAAAUAACGUCUUGCAACAGAAGCAAAGUUCUGCCACCUUUUGCACAACUCCCUUCUCUUAAAUAUCUAGUACUUUUCGAUCUAAUUGCUGUGGAGUGCAUGAUGGAUUACCCUUCAUCAGCAAAGCCAUUCUUCCCAUCUCUGAAGACACUCCAACUUUCUCUUUUGCCCAAUUUGAAGGGAUGGGGAAUGAGGGAUGUAGCAGCAGAGCAAGCUCCUUCAUAUCCUUAUCUUGAGGAUCUACUGCUGAACAACACCACUGUGGAGCUAUGCUUACAUUUGAUCUCUGCCUCUUCUUCAUUGAAGUCUCUGUCUAUUAGAUGCAUAAAUGAUCUGAUAUCUCUGCCAGAGGGGCUUCAACAUCUUUCCACCCUACAAACUCUCAAAAUUGAGCAUUGCUAUGGUUUGGCAACUUUACCAGACUGGAUUGGCAGCCUCACAUCACUUUCAAACCUUUCCAUUGAAUGCUGCCCUGAGUUGAGAUCACUACCAGAAGAGAUGCGAUCCCUCCGCCAUCUACACACACUUGAAAUCUAUAGAUGUCCAUACUUAUAUGAAAGAUGCCAAAAGGAAACUGGUGAAGAUUGGCCUAAGAUUUCUCAUAUUCCCGAAAUUAUCAAUCGGGGAUGGUGAAGCAGAUAUGUGAAGCUUGCCUUGUCUCUUUAAUGAAUGCGUCAUCCACAACAAAUUUCGGUAUGCAAUCCAAUUUCUAGUUGUUUGCUGUGCUUUUUGUUAUUUGUUCGCACUUCACCUGUUACAUAAAAUGCUUAGCUUACCAAAAUGCCCUGUUACUCGGUGUUUGCAGUUUACACAUUUGCAUUUUACUGCCGUCGAAAUUGUUGUCAUCUCACUUCUCUCAAAUAUUAUAUAAAUUUCAGAAUAUAAUACUUGAAACUGUUGCAAUACUGAUUAUUUAAUGCUUGGAAUGCCUUCAAAAAUUGCAACCAUCAUGCCCCUAGAUGGCCACCCAAGAAAACUAAAGCUCAGGAAACUCAGCCGGGAAUUUAUAUUAAUCAGAACUAGGCUCUUAUAUGGAUUUGCUUGUAGUGUUUAACAAUGUUUGGGUUAGAACUUAAAGAAGUGUAGCUCCAUAUUCCUUGAUGGACACGUUAAUGUAUUGAGGUCAACCCCCACCACAUGUUGAAUUGAUAGGUAGUGUGAAGAAGACCAUUGAUGUAUAUAGGUGUAGAGUAAGGUGUUUUUUCCAUAGGGACUGCCACAAGCAAUUUAAUUUCUUUUUUUUUUUUUUGAAUGUUGAUUCUUAUAAGAUAGAACCAAAAGCAUAAAAUAAAAUCUAAUGCUUAUUUAGAGUUUUUUUGUAAUAUAAACAAGUGCCUAUCGCAAAGAAAGAACAUAGCAUAUUUUUGUGCAAUUUUAAAUUAUUCAUCGUACUAUGUGUUUCCAAUCCAAUUUGUAUGGUUGUUUUUGCAGGGUUUAUGUUUUGUUAUUUUACAAUUUAUCUAGCUCUUUAGAACCUUAUAGAUUAUGUUUUGCUAAUUUCGAUAUGUAAUGGCAUAUGUGAGGGAAAAGGUUUUUCAAUUUGUUUUCCUUCACUUUGUUGCAUGUCUAUGUUCUUUUACUCAUGAAUACAAUUGGGACUGUAAAUGUCAUGUUCGGUUUUCUUGUAGUUAUUUAGAAUAUUACUUGGGAUGUGCAUAUAAUACUUUCUUAUUAUGGAAGUCUUUGCCCUGGUUAUAAAUUAUGAUUUGAUUUUAUAUUUUUGGAUUGAACAAUGCUUGUAAUUCUUUUCGCUAUUCUAAUUUCUUGAUGAUUCAUUCUAUUAAGCCAACACCCUUUAAUAUUCCUUAAAAAAAUGUUGACAGGUGGAGGAUAACCGAUGCAUAUGGAAUGAGUUAGCUCACUUACAUCACAUUCCCAACCUAUACCCUUUUUAGCAUGUUGUCCAUACUUUGUCUCCACUAUUCAGGUUUAGAAUUGACUCCUCUCCUUUUGCUCUGAAUUGUUUACCCCUUUCAUUCAUUUACUAAAAUUUUUUGUACUUCUAGUCUUCUUAUGAUGUUUUGAUCUUUUUUUUUUUUAACUCUUAUUUGAAGUAGAACAACAAUAUACCACUUGAGCAAGGAAGGAGCACAUAUUAUUGAAUCCAUGUGGUAAGUGGUUAAUUCUCGUCUCUCAAGUUUCUUGAUCGUGGGAAUCUAAAUGCUUUGGGGUGCAUGGAUAACAAUAGCGACAUAUCUCCCUCAUUUUCAUUGAGAGGCAAGUUGGUUUGAGGGGAGUAUAAAAUAAGGAGAACUAGCAGGACCAUUCUUCCCAUUCCUGCCAUGAUGGAGGAAAAGAGAUGGUGGAGGGAUAGUAUCAAUAUCACUAGCAAAACAACAAAUUUGAAGGGAUUACCCAUCAUCAGCAAAGCCAUUAUUCCCAUGUCUGAGGACACUCCAACUUUUUUAUUUGCCCAAUUUGGAGGGAUGGGGAAGGAGGGAUGUAGCAGCAGAGCAAGCUCCUUCAUAUCCUUAUCUUGAGGAUCUACAGCUGGGCAACACCACUGUGGAGCUACGCUUACAUUUGAUCUCUGUCUCUUCUUCAUUGAAGUCUCUGUCUAUUAGACGCAUAAAUGAUCCGAUAUCUCUGCCAGAGGGGCUUCAACAUGUUUCCACCCGACAAACUCUCACAAUUGAAUAUAUCUCUGGUUUGGUCACUUUACCACACUGGAUCGGCCGCCUCACAUCACUUUCAAAGCUUCGCAUUGAACACUGCCAUAAUUUGUUAUUUCUGCCAGCAGAGAUGCGAUCCCUCCGCCAUCUACACACACUCGAAAUUUGUGGUUGUGCACACUUAUAUAGAAGAUACAAAUACAAAACUGGUGAAGUUUCGGCUAUGAUUUCUCAUAUUCCCGAAAUUAUUAUUUCGCGACAUUGAAGCAGGUAUGUGAAGCUUGCCUUGUCUCUUUAAUUGAAUGCGUCAUCCACAAUAAAUUUCAAGUAUGCAAUCCAAUUUCUAGUUGUUUGCUGUGUUUUUCCUUAUUUGUUCGCACUUCACCUGUUCGAUAAAAUGCUUAGGUUACCAAAAUGCCUUGUUACUCGGUGUUUGCAGUUUACAUGUUUGCAUUUUACUGCCGUCGAAAUUGUUGUCAUCUCACUUCUCUCAAAUAUUAUAUAAAUUUCAGAAUAUAAUACUUGAAACUGUUGCAAUACUGAUUAUUUAAUGCUUAUAAUGCCUUCAAAAAUUGCAACCAUCAUGCCUCUAGAUGGCCACCCAAGAAAACUAAAGCUCAGGAAACUCAGCCAGGAAUUUAUAUUAAUCAAAACUAGACUCUUUUAUGGAUAUGCUUGUAGUGUUUAACAAUGUUUGGGUUAGAACUUAAAGAAGUGUCGCUCCAUAUUCCUUGAUGGACACGUUAAUGUAUUGAGGUGAACCCCACCACAUGUUGAAUUGAUUGGUAGUGUGAAGAAGACCAUUGGUGUAUAUAGGUGUAGACUAAGGUGCUUCUUCCGUGGGGACUGCCACAAGCAAUCUAAUUUUAUUUUAUUUUUUUAUGUUGAUUCUUAUAAGAUGGCACCAAAAGCAUAAAAUAAAAUCUAAUGCUUCUUUAGAGUUUUUUGUAAUAUAAACAAGUGUCUAUCGCAAAGAAAGAACAGAGCAUAUUUCUAUGCAAUUUUAAAUUAUUCAUCUUACUAUGUGUUUGCAAUCUAAUUUGUAUGGUUGUUUUUACAGGGUUUAUUUUUUGUUAUUUUACAAUUUAUCUAGCUCUUUAGAACCUUAUAUAUUAUGUUUUGCUAAUUUCGAUAUGUAAUGGCAUAUGUGAGGGAAAAGGUUUUUCAAUUUGUUUUCCUUCACUUUGUUGCAUGCCUAUGUUCUUUUACUCAUGAAUACAAUUGGGACUGUAAAUGUCAUGUUCGGUUUUCUUGUAGUUAUUUAGAAUAUGACUUGGGAUGUGCAUAUAAUACUUUCUUAUUAUGCAAGUCUUUUCCCUAGUUAUAAAUUAUGAUUUAAUUUUAUAUUUUUGGAUUGAAACAAUGCUUGUAAUUCUUUUCACUAGUCCAAUUUCUUGAUGAUUCAUUCUAUUAAGCCAACACCCUUUAAUAUUCCUAAAAAAAAUGUUGAUAGGUUGAGGAUAACCGAUGCAUAUGGAACAAGUUAGCUCACUUACAUCACACUCCCAAUCUAUACUAUUUUUAGCAUGUUGUCCAUACUUUGUCUCCACUAUUUAGGUUUAGAAUUGACUCAUCUCCUUAUGCUUUGGAUUGUUUACCCCUUUCAUUCAUUUACUAAAAAAUGUUGUACUUCGUCUGAUUUUUUUGUUUGAUAUUUUGAUCUUUUUUUUAACUCUCAUUUAAAGUAGAACAACAAUACUCCACUUGAGCAAGGAGCACAUAUUACUGAAUCCAUGUGGCAAGUGGUUAAUUCUCGUCUCUCAAGCUUCUUGAUCAUGGGAAUCUAAAUGCUUUGGGAUGCACGGAUAACAAUAGCGGCAUAUCUCCUUCAUUUUCAUUGAAAGGCAAGUUGGUUUGAGGGGAGUAUAAAACAAGGAGAACUAGCAGGACCAUUCUUCCCAUUCCUGCCAUGAUGGAGGAAAAGAGAUGGUGGAGGGAUAGUAUCAAUAUCACUAGCAAAACAACAGUAACCAACAUUCAUUACUUCUCUGGUUUCCUCAUCUUUUUAUUUUACUUGAGCUGAAAUGCAUGCUGAUAUAUCUAUAUCUUGAUCAGGAUUUAGAUCUAUAUAACAUCUCUUCCACAAGAGGAGCCCUAAGUGCUUACCUCUCUUAAUUUGGUAAGUAUGUUGCAUUAUUGUUUGUUUGUAUAAUUCUAGAUAUCAUUUUUGAAUGAUGAUGAAAAUUUAUGUUUUUCUCUCAUUUUCUCAAAAUUGAUGACAAAUAGAUAAAAGAUUCUUGUGCUCUUUAAUUCUAUCACACCAUACAAACAUAUUUUAGGUUUGCAAAUCUACCUAUAUUCCUUUUCUAUGGGAUUUACUUUUCAUUAUUUUACAAUUUGUCCUUUAAGAAUGUUACACUUUCUUUACAGCUUUAAUUACCAGAGUCUUUGAUGCAUUUCCAAAAACACUCAUAUUAUGCAAGUCCUUUUCAUGGUUAUGAGUCAUGUUUGUAAUUCUUGACUGGAUUUUAUUGGACAAAUUUAUUGCAGAUUCAUUCUAUUGUUGACCAAUACCAAAGGGGUGAUAUUGAGGAUUGGAUGGAUGCUUUUCAACAUUCCAUAAAUAAAUAUUGACAUGUUAUUGGUACCCGAGGCAUAUGGGAAAAGUUAGCCAUUCAAUUCGAUAUUUAAGCUUUGCAUGUUGUCUAUAACAUGUCUUCAUUAUUCAGGUUUAGGACCCAUUCCUCUCUUUUUUGGUUUUGUUGGUUUAUUUUCUGUUAUUUAAUUUGCUAAAAAUUCUUAUACCUUGUCUUAUAGGAAGGGUGAAACAAGGAGAAUUAACAGGAUUAUUCUUCUCAUUUCUGCCAUGAUGGAGAAACUCAAAAAUUAGAGAAACUUAAAACAUAUGUCGAGGUGGUAGUGGCAUUACCAGAUAAACAACAGAAGCUUCAUUCUUGCCAUGUUUUCCUUUUCUUCCUAUUCUCCUUAAGCCGACAUCCAUGCCACUGCAUCUAUAUCUUAAGGAUCCACAGUACCAUCUCCUUCAUUUCCUUUCUCCUUCCUACAUCCAUUGACGUCUAUGCAUAUUGAUGGCGAUAGAGAAUCCAACAUAUGUUCCAAAAAAAGGAUUUUGGUACAUCAUUUCUCUCUUAAAUUUUGACAUGCCAUUGUUUAUUUGUCCAAGUCUAGAUAUUCGAAAUGUAAAUGCUAAUGGUGGUGAAAUCUUAUGUCUUAGGGAAUUUCAGCAAGUUAAAGAUUUUUUAUGUGAAUGUAGGAAUCAAUUCUAAGAACUCGAGAGGUAGCAUCCAAUAUGUAUUCACCUUACUACAGCAAAGAAUCUAACACUUUGGGUAAGUGUUCAUUCUUUAACUUAGGAAAAAUAGAUGGUAAGUCACCUCACUAAGCUUCUUGUUAUUCAUUGUCAAGCUUGAAAUCACUACUAGAGGGAUGUCAAAAGGAAGCAUGUGCAGAUUGAUCCUAUGGCUUAUCAUGUCCCAAGAAUUCAUAUCUACCAGUCUCAAAUAGCUAAUGCACAAAGGACCUAUUCUCUGUUUACAAUUCGGGUGCACUAUCUGCAAUGCUUGUUCUAAGGUUUGCUAUGCCAACUUUUUUUCCUUCUUUUGAUGGCUACUUUAUUUCUUAUUUUACAUUCAAUUUGUUCCAAUUCUUAUUUUAUAAGUUAUGUAUUGUUGGUGCAUAUGGAAUGAGUAAAUUCACUUGCAUCAUUAUGUCUCUAUUAUUCAGGUAUGUCACUCCACUUCCUCUUCCCACCUCAAAACUCUUUAUAGCUUAGUUCUUCACUACAAAUUUCGUAAGAACUAUAAAAGCUCAAAUUCAACUAUUGUAUUUUAGUUGUUCAAAGCAAUAAAACAGCAAACAACAACUAGUUGAGUGAGCGGCUCGUACUACCGACUUGAAGUGCUUGAUUCAAUUUAUUGUUAGGUGCCUAAACAAGCCUUUAUAUAUAAUUCUUAACUGAAAAUGAGUAAUAUGAUGUUUAGUGUGGAUGUCCUCUUCUAUGACACGAGAGUAAUAAUUUCUUGUUGUUUUGCCCUUCUUUUGUUAGGAGGAAUUAUAUUGCCUAUUGCUAAGGGAAGAAGUUGCUAGAAUCUAAUACUGUGAAAGUGUAAAUUUUGGAGUUUCUUUGUAAUUGCAUUGUAAGAUCAUCUAAUCUCUAAGUGAAAAAACUCUUGGCUACAAUUGAAGCAUUCCAUUAUGUACAUAAUGUUGUUAGCUUUAUUGAUUUGGCAGGCUUAUUUCCCAAGUCUUGUAAUCAAGUUGUUGGUUCCAAUAUCGUUGAACAUUCAUGACAUAUAGAUCUUCUAAUUUGCAAGCUCCUAUGACAUCUGUCAAACUCAACAAAGGUUCAUUCGUAUCUCAAAAAUUGUUAUAGAUUCUACUUUUUAUGCAAUAGAUUUCAAAAAAUUAAUUCUUGUAUGAUUUUUUGUAGGAAAAAAGAUUGAGCUACAUAUUUGACCUCAAAGCAGAGAGAGUUAAUCAUUUUGAUGAGGUACAUAUGGUAAGCCUUCAUCAACAACUGUCACAUUGUUCUUUAUGAUAAUUUGUGUUUUCUUUUAGUUCAUUCUUAUACAAUUCCUUUAAUAUCGAAAUUAAAAAACAAAGUACAUAAUUUAUUGAGUUGGCUGUUGUAACAUAUAGUUAUGACAUUAUUCAUGUUCCAAAAUAAUGGAAAGCCAAUCCAAGAUGAUUGAUCUAUAUGUUCAAGAUGCUUGAAAGGAGUGUCAUGAGUCUUUUUAUGGUACCAUUUGCAUAUUAGUGUAAGAGUUAUUAUUCUUAAACUAACUUUUUUCUUCUUUUUUUAUUUUUGCGGAAUUAUAGGUGAGAAUCAAGUUUAAUCGAACUAUCCUUGGGACUGAUUUUUACUGGAAGAUAACCUCAUAUUUCAUAAUGUCAUUCAUUGUUGGCAUACAAAAGCUCAAUCAUUAAACAACUUAUGAAAUAAAAGGGUGGUCGAUUAAGAGAGGAAGAAUGGAUUCAAAAGUUGAUCUCCACUUCCCACGCUUUUGAAGGCUUCAAUCAUGACUCAAAGAACAAGUUGGUUUAUUUAAAGGUUUUGGAAUCUCCUUGCAUGUUGUGGAAGUGUAUUUAGCUUCUAAAUAAAAGUAGAAUUCAAAUCCAGUAUCAACUUUCAAUUACUACAAAUUGCCACUCAAAUCUCCUUACAACCUUUCUAUUAGUUGUUUCUUUAUGCUUCUUCAAUGAUACUAUUAACAUUAUUUUAUGUUACUUUUGAUGGAAUC
This 26945-nucleotide long non-coding RNA is filed under the name Vitis vinifera (wine grape). RNAcentral describes it as "long non-coding RNA (VVIN_LNC004376)". The record is from RNAcentral. Lineage: Eukaryota; Viridiplantae; Streptophyta; Magnoliopsida; Vitales; Vitaceae.